Regulatory RNA element from Jannaschia seosinensis, 95 nucleotides. It matches the Rfam family "Rhodo-rpoB RNA". Lineage: Bacteria; Pseudomonadati; Pseudomonadota; Alphaproteobacteria; Rhodobacterales; Roseobacteraceae. The record is from Rfam.
GGGACGGGGGCGCGCCUGUGGGACGGCGCGCCGGAUGGUCUCUCCUCAGGAUCCCUUCGCAGGCCCGCUGCGUCCGAUGCCCGACGGACGACGCG